CCUGGCUCCAAAGGAGAGCAGAGGGAAGACAAGAGGCUCGCUCCUCUUUGUCUUUGCAGCUUGUCUGAAAUGGCUCAGGCUUUCAACCUUUACUUCAGUUGGCUGAAGUAAGGCAUGCCUUGUGCAUUAGAUAAAUGAACCAGGAAGAACAGAUAACUCCUUGAUUUGGGAUCCAUUCUCUGACAGGAGCAAAGGACAAACGAUCCUUCUUGGAGCAGAUCUUUAUCCUGAAAAGUGCUAGACACUGAUCUUCAUCCAGCAGCAAAGCAUCCAAAGACUGUGAUGAAUGAUGUCUGGAGAGCUCAGCACCUAGCAGGAGGGAGCUUAUAGUGAGCAGGAGACAAGAUCACGGCUGCUAGAAACGAGCAGGCUGUUACACUGCAUGGUUCAGUUAACAG
Molecule: non-coding RNA, 398 nt
Organism: Anas platyrhynchos (mallard)
Lineage: Eukaryota; Metazoa; Chordata; Aves; Anseriformes; Anatidae
Source: RefSeq, a predicted model, not a curated record